UGUGUUGAGUCUGAUUCGAGUGGUGCAGAUAUUUCCAGUGCUUCUGGAUCACUUCAGUCUCAAUAGAUAAAUUUGAAUGAAAACCCUCUUGAAGAGGUUGAGUCUUAUUCGAGUGAUGCAGAUAUUUCCAAUACUUCUAGAUCACUCGAGCCUCAGCAGAUGAAUUUGAGUGAAGACUUUCCUGAAGAGGUUGAGUCUGCUGUUUCAUCUGUUCAUAAGCAGGCAGUUACUCCAAAAAAGUCGCCAUCCUCUAUGAUACGAGCAAAUAAUACUGUGAGCCUUAUAAAUCAAUGUAUCAAAAACAAGGCUCUGAAAACCAGAAUCUAGAGGAAAAAUCCAAAAAAAAUAUGAAAAAAAAAAUUAAAAUAUGUGAAUACGAUACUGACGAUAAUUCAAAAGAGCCUGGUGAAAAACGCGAAAACUAGAGUACAUAGAUUGCUGAAAAAAUAAAUUCUAAAACCAGUGAACUGCAAAAGGUAAAAAUGGUACAUUUAUUCUACGGUAUAUCCGUUCCGAAAAAAAGGUGGAAAGAUGCCCUCAGUGCCAAAACGAAAUAUGGAUUCGUACGAGAAAUUAUACAUUCGAUUUGUUAAGGUGGAUCUAUUCUAUCAAUAGCUGUACAAAGGCAUAGAACUGCAGAUAAGAAAAAUAGACAAGCAUUUACUCCUAAGAAAAAAGAAGCGUUACAUAAGGGUUAUGUUCAAUAUCUUCCGCAUAACGGCAGGAUCCCUAAAGUAAUUACGACGCAAGAAGAAAGAAAAAUGGCUGAAAGAAUAAUAGGUGGCUUUGGGCGUGCUUUAGGCACGGUUACUUACCAAGAAAGGAAAAAAUAGAUUGGAGCUAUAUUAAAAUUUUUUCGAUUAUUUAUUACUUGUAAUAUGUAUUUAUUUUUAUUAAUUGUAGACUUUCGCAGAAAUAUUCAGCAGAUAACUGCCAAAACGGGAUUGAAAUUUUAAUUUCUAGGCUGGCUUCGCCAUCUCCUUGAACGAUCAAAAUAAAAAAAACACAGAGCUAGUCACCUACUAAUCAACAAGAAUAAAUAUUUUUUUUUUUUAGCUUCUGUGAUUUGAAGGCUGUGUAGUGUCCUACGUAUAUUUAGGUAGGAUAAAUAAACAACUAGUAAUUUAAGUGUUUAACAUUUAUUAGCACCUCACACUAUCCGGUUCUCUCUUCGCCUCGUCGUGUACAUGUGUCGCACGCUGCGCAGUGUGUACCGACACUCACUCACACUCGACA
Trichogramma pretiosum is the source of this 1236-nucleotide long non-coding RNA. RefSeq lists it as uncharacterized. The transcript is spliced from 3 exons. The record is from RefSeq and is a predicted model, not a curated record. NCBI's taxonomy places the organism in Eukaryota, Metazoa, Arthropoda, Insecta, Hymenoptera, Trichogrammatidae.